RNAcentral lists this ribosomal RNA (200 nucleotides) under uncultured bacterium. Its description in RNAcentral is "partial 16S ribosomal RNA". It matches the Rfam family "Bacterial small subunit ribosomal RNA", at positions 524 to 722 of the family's 1533-position model. The record is from RNAcentral.
UACGGAGGGUGCAAGCGUUAUCCGGAAUCACUGGGUUUAAAGGGUGCGUAGGCGGCUAUGUAAGUCAGGGGUGAAAGCCUACAGCUUAACUGUAGAACUGCCUUUGAUACUGCAUAGCUUGAAUUAGGUUGAGGUUGGCGGAAUGUGGCAUGUAGCGGUGAAAUGCAUAGAUAUGCCAUAGAACACCAAUUGCGAAAGGC